RNAcentral lists this ribosomal RNA (447 nucleotides) under uncultured bacterium. RNAcentral describes it as "bacterial SSU rRNA". It matches the Rfam family "Bacterial small subunit ribosomal RNA", at positions 355 to 825 of the family's 1533-position model. The record is from RNAcentral.
UGGGGAAUAUUGGACAAUGGGCGCAAGCCUGAUCCAGCCAUGCCGCGUGAGUGACGAAGGCCUUAGGGUUGUAAAGCUCUUUUGGCGGGGAAGAUAAUGACGGUACCCGCAGAAUAAGCUCCGGCUAACUUCGUGCCAGCAGCCGCGGUAAUACGAAGGGAGCUAGCGUUGUUCGGAAUCACUGGGCGUAAAGCGCACGUAGGUGGGCAGCUAAGUCAGGGGUGAAAGCCCGAGGCUCAACCUCGGAAUUGCCUCUGAUACUGGCUGUCUAGAGUCCGAGAGAGGUGGGUGGAAUUCCUAGUGUAGAGGUGAAAUUCGUAGAUAUUAGGAAGAACACCGGUGGCGAAGGCGGCCCACUGGCUCGGUACUGACACUGAGGUGCGAAAGCGUGGGGAGCAAACAGGAUUAGAUACCCAAGUAGUCCCUGAGCGGGCUGGCAAGGCGCAU